CAGUGGUACCUUGGGUUAAAUACUUAAUUCAUUCCGGAGGUCUGUUCUUAACCUGAAACUGUUCUUAACCUGAAGCACCACUUUAGCUAAUGGGGCCUCCUGCUGCCGCCGCGCCGCCAAAGCACGAUUCCUGUUCUUAUCCUGAAGCAAAGUUCUUAACCUGAAGCACUAUUUCUGGGUUAGUGGAGUCUGUAACCUGAAGCGUGUAACCCAAGGUACCACUGUAUUCACCUCAUGGUACUUUCAGCAGCAGGCAAGCCAGAAUGCAUCCAAAUGAGACUUUUGGUUUUGGGCUUGGCUACCAAAUGGUGGUAAUCAGAACAAUCCAAAGUUUGGUGAUGUGUCAUAGCGAAUACCAAUACUCUGGGACUUCCAGCAGGCCUGCUAGGAGGCAGCAGCGGCAGCAGCAGCCUGGCAAUGGCAGAAUCAACGAUCGGGGGGGGGGGGGGCAGUGGCAGCCUGGCAGUGGCACAAUAAUCAGCAGCCUGUGAAGCCUCACUGUGGUAUUGGACAGUGGCAGCAGAAGCGGUGGCAGCCUGCGAGGACUUGUUGCGGUGGCUGCAGUAGUGGUGACCUGCAAGACCUUGUGGCAGAGGCAAAAGCGACAAUGGCCUGCAAGGCCUUCAGUAUUGUGAGGCCUUGCAGUUGUGGUAGAAGAUGGCAGAAGCAGAGGUGGUCUGCAAGACCUCAUUAAGGCAGGCUGCCACAGCUUCUGCCAUCGCCUACCACUACUGCCAGGAGAGCUUGCAGGCCACCGCCACUUCUUACCACCAUGGCGAGGCCUUGCAAGCCCCACUGCUGGUCUUGCCAUGAGGCCUCACAGGCUGCCACUCUUAUUGGUGCAAUGCAUUGCCGCUGCAAGACCUUGCAAGAUGCCACUGCUACUUCUGCCCUCUCCCGUUGUCGCCAUGAGGGCUUGCAGACUACUACUGAUUGUGCCGCCACUGUGAGGCCUUGCAGGUUGUCACCACUAUUGCUGACAUGUACUGCGGUCAUGGCAAGCUGUUUCUGUCUCCUAGCAGGCCUGCUGGCAGUCCCAGAUUUUUUGUAUUCACUAUGACUCAUCACCGUACUUUGGAGUGUCCUGAGUGCCAUCAUUUGGUAGCCAAGCCCAAAACCAAAAGUCUCAUUUGGAUGUAUUUUGGCUUGCCUGCUGCUGAAACUGUAUGUGUGAUGAUCGAAAAUAUUGCCAUUUAUCUGUUUUAGUCCCCUAAGUAGUAGCAGUUGCCAGGACAUUGAUAACACGUGUUUAGCUGGUGAGCUAGCGUGAUGUUUAGUUGGUGAGUUAUUGCCUAGCCCUUACACACAUUGUGAUUCGCAAUCUAUUGCCAGCUCAAAUAUGGAACAACACAAUGAACUUCAAACUGGUUUUGGCUGAUAUAUCAACAUAUUGCCCAGCCUAGUGUACAUCCAGAUUAUUAGGUUUUGUUUUAAUUUUGCUUUAAAAGUGUUACUGUAAAACCACCUUAAGUUUGUUCUAAGGUUGGAAACAUAGUUUGCACACUUUGUGAUCUUCACUCAGGCCUUUCUCUGUACAGCAGCCUUCCCCAGCCCAGUGUCUUCCAGAUGUUUUGGAUUACAUCUCCUCCAGCAGCUGGUACUGAUGGGAAGCUGUUGUCCAAAACACCUGCAGGCUGUUAAGACAUCCUCUCUACAGGGAACUCUUCUACAGCUGCCUCAGUCUGCCCUAGUUUCCUGCCCGCCUUGGGGAUUAACAUUCACAGAGGGGUCUAAGUGGGUAGGCUGUCCCUGGGCUAUUUCCUAUCUAAUUAUUCCUGCUCCCAGAAGACUCGUGUGAGCCAUGGUUAUGCAAACAGUUUAGUAAAUGCACCUCUGUACAAAUCUUCAUAAAGAA
Molecule: long non-coding RNA, 1855 nt
Organism: Podarcis raffonei (Aeolian wall lizard)
Lineage: Eukaryota; Metazoa; Chordata; Lepidosauria; Squamata; Lacertidae
Exons: 2
Source: RefSeq, a predicted model, not a curated record